Molecule: long non-coding RNA, 1826 nt
Organism: Sapajus apella (tufted capuchin)
Lineage: Eukaryota; Metazoa; Chordata; Mammalia; Primates; Cebidae
Exons: 3
Source: RefSeq, a predicted model, not a curated record
UGUGUAGCUGGGAUUACAGACAUGUGCCACCACACCCGGCCAGUUGUUGUUUUUUUCCAUAUUGGUGAUUCCGUUAUACCCCAGUGCUCAUUCAUCUUAGUCAAUUCUGCUUUGUUCAGGUCAAAACAUUUGUAAAAGGAAAAAUGUAGCGAAAAUAACUGAGCACCUUGGAGAAGAAAUCCGUAGGUCCCAUCUUCUAAAUACCAGCCAAUUAUUUUAUUCUUUUACCUAGAAAGCCCUUUAAUGUCCCAAACUCAAUUUAUUAUUUAGCUCCUCUUUUCUCUAAAACAGAAUAACACUUCUAGUUUUUCUUAUGGGAUCACUGAGUAUCUCCGAAAUCUUUCUACAACUUGCCACCUUUACUAUCAGCUUACCUCUUACUUACACAAUUGGAAAAGCUUCUAGACUUGUGUUAUUGUCUGCAGAGUCUUUUUCCAUCAGCUGUUGACCCUACUGUUAUCUUAGUUGUUUCUAAAACGCAAGUCAAGUUCCAUCAUGGUCUGUUCAUAAGCUCUGUAAGGCCAUCCCAUUGCCUAUAAAGUAAAGUCCAAAUGUCUUCGCAUAUGCUAUUUCUGACAGAAAGAAAAAAUUAUCUUAUAACUUUCAAGGCAAAUUUUAUCAGAAAGUUUAACAUUAGUGUAUAACCAGUAUAAGAACAAUUAUAAAGUUAAUAUGCCCAAAUUAGAAUAAUUAACAUGCCAGAGGCCUCUUUAAUAUUCUGAAAGAGAUACAAUGACAACUAUGAAAUGAUUCAACUGGUGGCAAAUUACAUGCCACAGAAAGUUUUAUAAUGUAUUUGUAUGGAAAAAAAAGUCCUGUGAUGGAAAAGACAGGGGAGGCAGAGGAGGUGAUGUUAAGUAUUCACAUUGUAGCUAGUUGGUUUUAUGACUUGAGGUAAAGUUUAGAAUCUAAUGUAUCUCAAUACGAUUAUUAUUUUUCAAUUAUCAGACAGAGUAAUAGGCCAUAAGGUCCAACAGGAUUAUAAUAGGGCAUAACGUUCAUUGUGUUAGUGAAUUUGGAACAUCAAAUGUGUUGCACCAAUGAAAGGCUACAUAAAGAGAAACAACUUUUGAAAGAGUCAAAUGAGAGAACUACCCCAUACCCACCCCUAAGCAGUAAAUUUAGAAAAGUUCAUUAGCUUCAGCCUCAAUCUCUUCUCAUUCAUAAAAUGAAGGUAGGAUUAUCAUAGGAAAGAAGUAUAUAAAAUAGCUAGUCCAAUACUAGAGUGGAGAAAUAGUGGAUCACUUCUCUUUUUAUAAUAUUCCUCCUUAAAAUUCCUUGGAUUUGUAUGUAAAACACGCACAUGAAUAAAAUAAGCUAAAAUGGAGAAUAAAAUAUUAAAAUAAAUUUUUUUUACAUCAGAUAUUCAUUGUGAAUCUUACCAACAGGUUAUUUUAUAAUUAAUUAUAUAGCCCUGGAAAAUGGAUCUUACACUGAAUUAAGAAAAUGAUAGAGGCCUCCUUCCUUUACUGAAGGACUUUCCUUUCAGUAUCCCUGCAAACCCCACCUCCCAACCGUCAUCCAACUGCUGAAACAAAGCCAAUCAGCCGCUGAGGCCCAACAGGCAGAGGCUGGAAGCUUUCUGAGAAGUUUCAGGAGCUGCUGCCUUCCGGGAAGAAAGAGAAGCAUUGUGUUCAACCGGUAAAAGAUCCUGAAAUUUUUUAAGGGAACACCAAGUAGGACCCAACAACUAAAAAAGUGAAGAAAACUACUUCAAGUAAGGCAAAGUUGAUCCUCAAAUUCAGAGCUCUUCUUUCCCAGCCCUACAGACAAGUUCAACAUCUUAAAUGUGGAAAAACAAGCCGGAUAAAUGAAACCACAAAACA